Non-coding RNA from Triticum urartu, 134 nucleotides. NCBI's taxonomy places the organism in Eukaryota, Viridiplantae, Streptophyta, Magnoliopsida, Poales, Poaceae. The record is from Rfam.
CCUAUACUCCCUCCGUCCAGAAAUAAUUGUCAUCAAAAUGAAUAAAAGGGAUGUAUCUAGAUUUAUAUUAGUUCUAGGUAAUUUCAUUUUUGUCCAUUUUGAUGACAAGUAUUUUCGGAUGGAGGAAGUAUUAA